This 409-nucleotide long non-coding RNA is filed under the name Parus major (Great Tit). RNAcentral's name for it is "lncRNA (ENSPMJG00000012661.1)". The record is from RNAcentral. Lineage: Eukaryota; Metazoa; Chordata; Aves; Passeriformes; Paridae.
GCUGGGUCUGCCAUGCCUCGGACCGAGGCACCAGCACCAGAUGAAUGAUGUGAUAGCCCUUGCCUCUCAUAUGACUCCUCAUUUCCCAUGAUGAUGAUUUUAAUGUAGCUAAAAAGAGUGACUACAGAAGGAGAUAAAGCGAAUCCCUCAUCUUUUGUGAGUCUUAAAACAGAAGUAGUAAGGAGGAAUUCUGGACCAGGCAGGCACUUCCUGGACGUUGAGGACCAAUGCAGUUGCUCGUAUAGAUGGUCUGAAUCCCUGGCUUUUAAUGAGAGAUUGAUCAAACUUUAAGAUGCAAGGGGAAGAACGGUUUUGGAUGGUUGGUUCUUAAUCAGAUGCAAAAUGCAGUUGAACUUUAUUGCACCAGAUAAGCAAAACAACACAUAUCGAAGAUUUGUGAAGAGACAGG